CGCGCCGAAAAUGUACCGGGGCUAAACAUAUUACCGAAACUGUGGAUGAACCUCUUUAGAGGUUCGUGGUAGGAGAGCGUUCUAAGGGCGGUGAAGUCAGACCGGAAGGACUGGUGGAGCGCUUAGAAGUGAGAAUGCCGGUAUGAGUAGCGAAAGAAGGGUGAGAAUCCCUUCCACCGAAUAUCUAAGGUUUCCUGAGGAAGGCUCGUCCGCUCAGGGUUAGUCGGGACCUAAGCCGAGGCCGAUAGGCGUAGGCGAUGGACAACAGGUAGAGAUUCCUGUACCAGUGCUAAUUGUUUAACCGAUGGGGUGACACAGAAGGAUAGGGAAUCGCACGAAUGGAAAUGUGCGUCCAAGCAGUGAGUGUGAGAAGUAGGCAAAUCCGCUUCUCGCGAAGCAUGAGCUGUGAUGGGGAAGGAAAUUAAGUACGGAAGUUCCUGAUUUCACGCUGUCAAGAAAAGCCUCUAGGAAGAGUAGUACUGCCCGUACCGCAAACCGACACAGGUAGAUGAGGAGAGAAUCCUAAGGUGAGCGAGAGAACUCUCGUUAAGGAACUCGGCAAAAUGACCCCGUAACUUCGGGAGAAGGGGUGCUCUAUUAGGGUGCAAGCCCGAGAGAGCCGCAGUGAAUAGGCCCAGGCGACUGUUUAGCAAAAACACAGGUCUCUGCAAAACCGUAAGGUGACGUAUAGGGGCUGACGCCUGCCCGGUGCUGGAAGGUUAAGAGGAGUGCUUAGCUUCGGCGAAGGUACGAAUUGAAGCCCCAGUAAACGGCGGCCGUAACUAUAACGGUCCUAAGGUAGCGAAAUUCCUUGUCGGGUAAGUUCCGACCCGCACGAAAGGCGCAACGAUCUGGGCACUGUCUCAACGAGAGACUCGGUGAAAUUAUAGUACCUGUGAAGAUGCAGGUUACCCGCGACAGGACGGAAAGACCCCGUGGAGCUUUACUGCAACCUGAUAUGGAAUGUUUGUACCGCUUGUACAGGAUAGGUAGGAGCCGAAGAGACGUGUGCGCUAGCAUACGAGGAGGCAAUGGUGGGAUACUACCCUGGCUGUAUGACCAUUCUAACCCGCCACGCUUAGCGCGUGGGGAGACAGUGUCAGGUGGGCAGUUUGACUGGGGCGGUCGCCUCCUAAAGAGUAACGGAGGCGCCCAAAGGUUCCCUCAGAAUGGAUGGAAAUCAUUCGCAGAGUGUAAAG
RNAcentral lists this ribosomal RNA (1199 nucleotides) under Listeria monocytogenes. RNAcentral describes it as "bacterial LSU rRNA". It matches the Rfam family "Bacterial large subunit ribosomal RNA", at positions 1160 to 2356 of the family's 2925-position model. Lineage: Bacteria; Bacillati; Bacillota; Bacilli; Caryophanales; Listeriaceae. The record is from RNAcentral.